Molecule: long non-coding RNA, 1882 nt
Filed under: Meleagris gallopavo (turkey)
Lineage: Eukaryota; Metazoa; Chordata; Aves; Galliformes; Phasianidae
Description: lncRNA (ENSMGAG00000021945.1)
Source: RNAcentral
GUGUGGCACUGCCAGACCCCAUCUAUGGGGCAGCCACCCCACGCCUGCACUCGCUGUCCCCGCCGUCCCCAUCCCAUCAUCACACAGCCCCUGUAAAUACAGCACCCACCACCCCCCAGCCCGGGGCUGCUCCACGUGUUGGGGGGGGUGGGGGGUCCGUGGGACCCUCUGUGGGGAGCAGCACCCCCCCGGCAGCGGAGGGGAGGGGUGGGAGCCACAGAUUUGUUAUAAUUUUUUUUGUAGAAAGCACUGAUUUCCCUGUAAGUUGUUUCAGAAACACGAAAAGUGCUCAGAGUCACUGCGUGUGCAGCUCUGGGGGGUUUGGGGGGGGACGUACAGGAUGGGAGGGGGGGCGGUGCGGGGUUGGGGGGAGGAGGAGGAGGGUGUUGAACCCCAAAUAUUCCUGGUGGAUGAGCACAAAGCAGUGCAGCCCCGCGGAAAUGUGGAGAAACAGCAUCUGGCAACGCUGCUGCUGCUGCUUUAUUGCAGCCUGGGCUAAAAAAGGGGUGGGGGAAACGCGGCCCCAACCACAAACCAGCGCACGGACCCCAACCCGACCCCACCAAGAGCGGGGCAAAGAGGAACCCGACCCCAAAGAGUCCUCGGGUGAUGCGGGGAGGGGGAGUGGGCGCACAGAGGGGACGUUUGGGGGCAGCCCCGGCCCCAUUGCGUGCUGGUGGCAGUCCUGGCUGCAGCACGGGGACGAGGGCGGCCGUUGGUUUCCCUCUCCAUGCGCUCCCGGCGCUCCCUGCGCUCACGCUCCUGGGGGUCUUCUGGGAACAGGGGGAGAACCUCAGAGCUCAGCACUCCCCAGCACAGCCGGGGGGUCUUAGGGGCCAGGCGGGCAGCACGGCAGGGAUGACAGCGCACCUAGCAUCUUCCUCCCCAUCUCCUGGAACUGCUUCCUCUUCUUCCUCUCCUCCUCCAGCAGCCGCUGCCGCUCCUCCACCUCCUGCUGCCGCCGCCGCAGCGCCUCGGCCUCCCGCUCAGCCUUGGAGAGGAACUUGGGCUGCCAGAGGAGAGAAAGGCUCACAGCACGACUGGCCACGGCCACUUAUUGCUGGGACCACCCCGGGAUAGGACCCCCCCCGACGCCCAUCUGGGCACCGCUGUCACAAGCUGGGACUGCGCAGGAAGGGAGAACUCCCACCCCCCUUCCCACCUUCGCUUCUGCCUCCUCCUCGGCCUUCUUCUUCGCCAGCAGCUCCUCCAAGGACAGGGGCUGUGCCUGCAGACACAGGGCUGUGCUGUGACGCUUCUCCUCGCCCCGAGAGCCGCUCUCAAACCAAACCCCACUCCUCACCUUCUCCUUUUUCAGCGCAUUCUCCUCUUCCUCCUCUGCCUUCCGUGAGUCCCUCUCCUUGCGGGACUUGGAGUCCUUACCCCUGCUUGGGGACAAGCUUCCCCAACAAAACAAAAGGCAAUCAGGGACCGAACAGAGCCCCAAAUCCAAAGCCCGAAGCCCUAAAGCCCCCAAACCCAGAGCCCCGACCCCCUCCCCCACUCUCCACUGGUUGAAGCCCCCUCUGCCGGAACCCAGAUGCGCCCCAUUGGGCCGCACAGCAGCCAACCCGACUGGAAAUCCUCUCACCUGGAUCGCUUCCUGUCCUUGUCCCUCCGGUGCCCAUCCUUUUCCUUCUCCUUCUCCCUCUCCCGGUCCUUCUUCCCCCGGUCCCGCUCGCGCUCUUUGUGCCGCCGCUCCCUGAGAAACGGAAAAAUCGCCCCAAAUGGGAACAGCCGUCCUACAAAGACGUUCCUUCCCCCUUCCCACCCCCGGUAACCCAACGGCGCUCACCUGUCCAAGGACUUGGAACGGGACCGGGAGCGGGACCGGCUGCCCCUCCUCCUGUCCCGGGAGCGGUGCCGCUUCCUGUCCUUGCUU